RNAcentral lists this transfer RNA (76 nucleotides) under Dipodomys ordii (Ord's kangaroo rat). It matches the Rfam family "tRNA". From Rfam's summary of the family: Transfer RNA (tRNA) molecules are approximately 80 nucleotides in length. Their secondary structure includes four short double-helical elements and three loops (D, anti-codon, and T loops). The record is from Rfam by way of RNAcentral. Lineage: Eukaryota; Metazoa; Chordata; Mammalia; Rodentia; Heteromyidae.
UGUGGUGUGGCUCAAGUGGUAGAGCACCUGCCUGGCAAAUGAGGUUUGAUCCUGAGUUCAAACCUCAGCAUCACCA